AAAUUGAAGAGUUUGAUCAUGGCUCAGAUUGAACGCUGGCGGCAGGCCUAACACAUGCAAGUCGAACGGUAACAGAAAGCAGCUUGCUGCUUUGCUGACGAGUGGCGGACGGGUGAGUAAUGUCUGGGAAACUGCCCGAUGGAGGGGGAUAACUACUGGAAACGGUAGCUAAUACCGCAUAACGUCGCAAGACCAAAGAGGGGGACCUUC
Molecule: ribosomal RNA, 210 nt
Filed under: Escherichia coli
Lineage: Bacteria; Pseudomonadati; Pseudomonadota; Gammaproteobacteria; Enterobacterales; Enterobacteriaceae
Description: partial 16S ribosomal RNA
Rfam family: Bacterial small subunit ribosomal RNA
Source: RNAcentral